Molecule: ribosomal RNA, 253 nt
Filed under: uncultured bacterium
Lineage: Bacteria
Description: partial 16S ribosomal RNA
Rfam family: Bacterial small subunit ribosomal RNA
Source: RNAcentral
UACGUAGGGGGCAAGCGUUGUCCGGAAUCAUUGGGCGUAAAGGGCUCGUAGGCGGUUCGUCACGUCGGGAGUGAAAACUCGGAGCUUAACUCCGAGCCUGCUUCCGAUACGGGCAGACUAGAGGUAGGCAGGGGAGAGCGGAACUCCUGGUGUAGCGGUGGAAUGCGCAGAUAUCAGGAGGAACACCGGUGGCGAAGGCGGUUCUCUGGGCAUUACCUGACGCUGAGGAGCGAAAGCAUGGGGAGCGAACAGG